AGUGAACGCUGGCGGUAGGCCUAACACAUGCAAGUCGAACGGCAGCACAGUAAGAGCUUGCUCUUACGGGUGGCGAGUGGCGGACGGGUGAGGAAUACAUCGGAAUCUACUUUUUCGUGGGGGAUAACGUAGGGAAACUUACGCUAAUACCGCAUACGACCUACGGGUGAAAGCAGGGGAUCUUCGGACCUUGCGCGAUUGAAUGAGCCGAUGUCGGAUUAGCUAGUUGGCGGGGUAAAGGCCCACCAAGGCGACGAUCCGUAGCUGGUCUGAGAGGAUGAUCAGCCACACUGGAACUGAGACACGGUCCAGACUCCUACGGGAGGCAGCAGUGGGGAAUAUUGGACAAGGGGCGCAAGCCUGAUCCAGCCAUACCGCGUGGGUGAAGAAGGCCUUCGGGUUGUAAAGCCCUUUUGUUGGGAAAGAAAAGCAGCAGGUUAAUACCCCGCUGUUCUGACGGUACCCAAAGAAUAAGCACCGGCUAACGUCG
This 490-nucleotide ribosomal RNA is filed under the name uncultured bacterium. RNAcentral's name for it is "partial 16S ribosomal RNA". It matches the Rfam family "Bacterial small subunit ribosomal RNA", at positions 29 to 505 of the family's 1533-position model. The record is from RNAcentral.